CCCCAGGGGUUUGCACAGGGGGGUUCACUCUGGGGCCCCCCAGGGGUUUGCACAGGGGGGGUUCGCUCUGGGUGUCCCCAGGGGUUUGCACAGGGGGGUUCACUCUGGGUGUCCCCAGGGUUUGCACAGGGGGGGUUCACUCUGGGUGUCCCCAGGGGUUUGCACAGGGGGGGUUCGCUCUGGGUGUCCCCAGGGGUUUGCACAGGGGGGUUCACUCUGGGGCCCCCCAGGCUCCCCAGCACCCUCGGGCAGGCUGCAGGUGGUGCUCAGACCCCCGGCUGCCCUCGCAGCCCAUUGUAAAGCAAAUGAAUUCUCCCAGGACCCGGAAUAGCUUGGCAGGGAGCAGAGCAGCUGCUCCGGGACUCAGUGCCCCUGUUUGAUUGCAUUUGUCUGAUUUCAGCAGCCUGCGAGGGGCAGGGGAGCCAUGGGGACAUCUCUCUGCAUGGGUGAGCUCACAGCUUCUCCUCCUGCACAUCCUCCUCAGCUCAGACAGAAUUUUAUUCUCCUGCUCCCUUCGAAGCACACCCAGAGGUGUCACUGUCAAAGGACAGUGUUUGGUGGAUGAAUCCAUCUCUUUUACCUUACAGGAUAAACGCGGUGUUUUUGACAAUAAAUGCCAUUUUCUUGAAUGGAAACAAGCAGUCCAAAAGGCUUCUGCUGGGUUUAGCAGCCUGUUUGGAGGGUCUGCCCUGGGGAGAGGGCUGUCAUGAGAGUAAACUGGUGUUAAACUGCUGGUUUGUGUUGCAGAGACUCAGAGCUGGAUGCAGCUGCAGGUUGGUGCUGAGGAUGUUCCCCCACUGCUCCCGAAUUUUGCACUGGCAUCCUUGGGUGUCCUGCCUGGGGCUGGGGCAUGGCCACAGCCUGGGGAAGGGAGUUAGUGACUCACUGUGAAAUUUCCUCUCCCUUUCAGGCAUUACAACAUAGAUUUUCCUCUUGCACAGGCCCCAGCUCUGCAGACAGGCACUGCCCUCGCUGCAGGGAAAUUGGUAGGAUGUCUUGGGGCAAAGGUAAAACUAAAGUACAUCAGUAAAUGUUAGCAGGAUCAGGACCUUAUUCAGGCAUAAAUCAGGUAGCCCCAGCCAACAAUAGAAUUACCUAAGUAUAAAAUCCCAUGUAAGCCAGUAAGAUCAGCUCCAAACCUGCUAUGAAUUUGCUUUUUGUUUCCGUGCCAAGAAUAUAUCACUGCUAACUGCUGCAAUCAGGGCUGGUCCUUUCAGGUUUUUUUAAGUGCUUUUGAGCACGUUUAUUUCCCGUCCCCAGCAGAUCCACACGGAGCCUGGCCCUCCUUCCCUGGGGCAUGCCCAAGCCUGUUCACCCACAAUAAAUUGUCCCUAUCAGGGAAUAUUUUUUUUUCUUUCCUGGCUGUUUUUGUUACUGCAUUCGGUAAACAAAGGGACAGCAGCAGUGACGAUCCAAACCCGUUCUUUUUUAUUUGCCUGGGAACAGAGUCAACUAUUUGUUGGUCUUUUGUUGCUGCUUUUGUUCUCUUUUUAGCCAGAGACCGUUGGAGCAGCUCCUGGUACCUGUGGGCAGCACGUACUGGAGCUGCAGCAUUUGUCACCUGCUGCCACGAGCCCGGGGAGGGGCAGCGAGGAGCACAAGGUGGGGUAUGGUACCAGGUACCAGGUCAAACCAAAGGUGCAGGGCACAAUGGUCCCUUCUGUCCCUCCCAAACAGAAUGAGAACAGCCUGCAGCAGUGUGCUGUGGUUGUAUGUGCCUCAGUUUCCCCGGUUCUCAGUGCACUGAGAUGAGAGGUCUGGUUGCACCUGGCUGAGCCAGGGUGAUGCCAGCUCUUGGGGAUGAGCUGCUCAAAACACUUGGAGAAGGAAGGCAGGGAGGGAUGGGAGGGAGGGAAGGAAGGAAGCUGGAGGCUCCUUUAGCCUGAGGACAGACCUCUCCUGGCCUCUCCAUCUCUGGGGCCUGUGCAGCAGCUCUGGCAGCUCCAGGCUGGUCACUUCUUAGCAGAGACACCAGGAGAAGCACCCUGGCUCCCACUGCCACCCCACCUGUGCCUCCAACCCACACCAGGGCUCUCCAAAAACCCAGCAGAGCUUCCCCUUCCCCGUUCCACUGGGACCACAGCACAGCCAGGAGCAGGAAUGCAUUUCCCAUGCUUUGGGCACUGGUGUGGGCUGGGGACACCCAUCAGAGCCAUUUGUCACCCCAGGCCACUCUGAAACAGGGUGGGGAAGCUGCUCUGCUGCCUGUGCCAGGCACAGCUCCUGUGCUGCAAACCAAACCUGCAGGGGAGCAGCCCCGGGAGCCAUCUGGUGCCUCUGAGGCUUUGAUGGAGUGGAACAAAACCAGAGCAGCCCAGCAGGUUGGACUGUGAGCCAUGCUGAGCCUGUCCUGCCCUGCUCAGGCUGCCUGCCCGGGUGCUCAGGAGUGUGUUGGUGUCUCCUGCCAGUGCUGCUGAGACUGGGGGGUUUGCAUGUGAAGCAGGAUGGGUUUGCGGUCAGGAGAUACGAGUGGAGGGAGCAGCAUCUCAGAGCAGCAUCCCAAACACCAGUCAGGCAGCAGGGCGGCCAGGGGAGCUUGGGGACACGUGGUGUGUGCUCUGAGCCUGUGGCAGGACAGCCAGGACCCAAAGCUGUCCCCAGGGCUGAGGGCAGCACGGCCAAACCACCAUGGAUGGCUGGAGAGGCUUCCCUGAGCUCUGCUCCUCCUGGGGGGAUCAACAGAGCUGCAGCACACAGGAGGAGGGGUACACAUUUGGGUCCCCCCAAACAAGUCCCAAACCCACAGAGGCAAGAAAAAUGACUCAGGAGAAUUCCUCUGGGAUUUUACCUCGCACCUCACUUUGUGACGCUCUGGGUUUGCUGUGGAAAGGCACAGCCCAGCUUGGUUGAAUCUCAUUACAUUAAGCAUUUGCUGCCUGGUUUCCAGGAGCUGUGAGCAGCAUUUGCCAUGCUGGGAAACAGGCUGGAGGAGGGAUGUGUGCCCUCCACCUGCAGCUGUGGGGGCUGCAGUGACUCACUGAUAUCAGGGGGCUGCCCAGAAAGGACCUGGGGAUGUUUAUGUUGCAAGGGCUUCUGGAGGUUUGCUCUAUAAUUACAGUUAUGUAAAAAAAGAGGCAGAUUUCAGAGUUUACUCUAAAUGAAAAAGGGAGGAAUGAUUGUUUCUGACUGGUCAUGGAUUCAUUUUUUAAUUGUGUACCCACAAUGUGUUGUCAUGCAAGAAAAAUCUAACCCUUACAAAAACUCAUUUCAAAAUGAGUAACUGCAACAUUUUUUCAGUCAUUGUGUGAGAAGGCUGUUGCAGGACUGCUGGGACUUCCCUUCUCCCCAGAAUGAGAUUCUGGUGUAAUUAAUGGGGCGUUUGGACUCUGAUAGCAUUUGCUUCAAUCCAGUUUCUCAUGGAAACCCUCCUGAUGCCUCUCAGAUCUUCAUGAAGACCCAGCCUUGCUGCAGGGAUGGUCCCGGCUGAAGCCAGGCAGGGAGGACGGCAGCACGUGGGAAAUGCAGUGGCACAGGCCCUGAUGGAUGUCAUGCCUGUGCAGGAUUCCUGGCAGGACUGCAGCUUUCGUCCAGAUUGCAGAUGCCCAAAAUAUCUGUAUUCUGGGCUGAGCAGACUGAAGUGCCCAGGGUUGGCUGAUUGAAGAGGACAUAGGGGAAUGCAAAAAGACAGACAGACAGAAAGACAGACAGAGGAAAAGUGCCUGAGAAUGUAUGGCAGCAGUGGGCAAAAGGAUGGGGGAUGCUCCUGGGGUCUGCCCCAUCUCCAGCCGUGGCUCUCACACCAGCACGGGAUAUUUUUACUGUUUUUCUGAGUCUGCUGAAGCCUGAGCUCAGUCCAGGACAAGGUUUUGCCCCAGAUUAGCUUGUGCUACCAGCCAUUAAAUUUGGUUGCAUUGCUGUUAUGUUAUGCUUCUCAUUUUAAAUUAUCUUCUAAACUGUGCACACCUGGCAUCUCCAGGAGCCAGGAUUUGUGAAAUAAAAGUUAAAAUGCCAGUUGAAAUAAGGGAUUUAUGUGUAUUCUUUCACAUACACACAUGAAUGCACACAGCUACUGAUAAAAACCACAUGUUUGUUCAUACAUACAUGUUUCUGAUCAGAUUUAUAAUGUAUAUAAUAUAAACGUUUUUCUACAUAUAAAAUUCAUUGGAAACAGGAAACCAAAUUAGUUUACCUUACUAAAGUAGCAUGAAAUACAGAGCAGUGUGCACUGUUGAAAAGAAGGUAGGAUGUGGUUUUUGGAGGACUUUUCUUUCCCCAGGGCUCGUUCUACCAUGUUUAUGUCUAAAACCUGCUAAUUUUAAAGCCAGCUCACAGGAGACUAAUGGCAUGACUCAUUUAUUUCAUUUCACUUUCAUUUUGCAGAGCUCAGGGUUUGUUUAAGGUGCUCACCUGUCAGCAGCUCGUGGAUGCUACAGGAGACCAGGAAUGGCCGUGAGUACCUGCACACACUGACCCCCCAUUUACCCAUGAACAGGAGCCACUCCAAUGAGCUGAGUCUGAUUUUAAAAGAUCUUUUGAGUGUUAAACAUGUAAUAAGACGCUCAGUGUUAUUUUCAAACCAAGACAUGUUCCUGGCUGAUUUAUAAAAGGCCACAGUCUCCACUUUUAUGUGGGCAAAUGCUUUUAAAAAUUGGCUCCUGGGAUUUGGGGUGCUCAUUGAUUCAUCCUCUCACAAGCCUCCAUCUCUGACCUUUCCAUUACCAACUUUUCCAUCUCCAACUGCUUCAUCAUGCUCCUGAGCAUGGGCACACAGCUAAUAAAUCUGAGUCUUUAAUUGCCCUCCCACACUGUGUGGCUUUAUCUGAGCCAUCAUUCCUGUCGCUGUGCCUUGUCGCAUCCUUCUGCUUCCAGAUUUGUGCUGCUGGAGUCAGCAAGAGGAUAAAACUGUUAUUUAGGUUUGGGUUUAGGUACAAAUCCCCUCAGUAACACACUCCAUGGCUGUGUGGCCCCACAUGAUGUGUCUGACGUGGCUGAGUUGGCUCUGUCUGGGGUGGGUACAACCCCUCUGCUUUUAUUUCAUGCAAGGUCCCAUUUUUUGAUUUUUUUACGCACCUGAAACGAUGUGAAAAAUUUGUGUAGGGAAAAAAAAAACCCCACAAACCCACCAUAAAUUCCCUUGCUAAAGGCAUCAGUAAGGACAGAGGGUCCUGCUGGCCUGGUGGUGCCAGCACCACUAGGAUGGAAAAACCUCAAGAACACCCAUUGUCCCUGGUACCCAAGGGAGAUUUAUUUAUUUAUUCCCCCCAGUUUAUCACCCUGUCAGGAAGUUUCCCAAGCCCUCCAGGAGCGGGUGCAGCAGUAUCAGCAGGCACAGGUCUAUCAGGCUGAGCAGAAGCUUUUCCAGGAACUAUCUAGUGCCACACGUGACCGUGCCCCGGGCGAUACGUGACAGGCAUUCACCGGCCGGUCAGUUGACUUUGUUAUUCAAACUAUUUUAGUGAUGGUUUUUAAUCCCAGGCUUAAGUUUUUCUUUUUCUAUUUUUUUUUUUCUCCCUCUUCUUUUUUUACUCUCUGAACAAGGGAAUCUCUAUGCUGGCAGGAUUCAGAGAGGCACAAAGGAGGGAAAAACAAGUUUCAGCCAGAAGAGAGAGAGAGAGAAAAAAAAAAGGAUGCUGUUAGCAUUCCCUGUAUUUGAGGGGUAAAAACAUUUUGCUGUCAACUCUGUUUUAAAGGGUAAGUGCUAAAAGCAGCCCAGUUACUAUGCAAAUAAACGGUGUGCUCAGCCUUUUCCUCUCAGUGCAAACUUGUUAGCCAGGGGAGCUGGGCUGUGGGGCUGGCAGUGUCCCCAUGUCCCCAGUGCUCCCAUCCCAUCCUGGGGAUACCCACUGGCUGGGGGUGCCACUGCAAAGCUCUGGACCUUGACAGGAGCCCAUGUGGGUGCCCAAACAAGGUGGGACAGCGUGGGGAGCACAACAGAGGUGUGGGCUGGGUACCCCCUGCUCCUUGUCAAAAGCAGACUCAGGCAGCUGGCAGCAGAGCCCUUGGCUGUCCCUCUGUGG
Molecule: non-coding RNA, 5957 nt
Organism: Zonotrichia albicollis (white-throated sparrow)
Lineage: Eukaryota; Metazoa; Chordata; Aves; Passeriformes; Passerellidae
Source: RefSeq, a predicted model, not a curated record